Molecule: long non-coding RNA, 282 nt
Filed under: Theobroma cacao (cacao)
Lineage: Eukaryota; Viridiplantae; Streptophyta; Magnoliopsida; Malvales; Malvaceae
Description: long non-coding RNA (TCAC_LNC005439)
Source: RNAcentral
UUUCUUGUUGGCUUUUCAUACUACACAUCACUAACUAACUAAAAACACUAAAAUACAUUGAAAUCUAACCAAAUCAAACAUCAAAACCUCCCUCUAAGUGUUCGGCCAGCAAGGGAUUCAUCAUGAAAUCAUGUGAUUCAACCAUGGAAAAUAAGAAAAAAUGCUUAAGAAAGAGAGAUCUCAAGCUUAAUUGAAAAAUCUUACCUUUUUUUCACUUGUUUCCUUGAAUUUUCACACUUUUCCCUUGAAUUUUUCUACCUAGGGUUUUGUUCUUCCUUUUUC